This 1427-nucleotide ribosomal RNA is filed under the name Streptomyces sp. Its description in RNAcentral is "bacterial SSU rRNA". It matches the Rfam family "Bacterial small subunit ribosomal RNA". The record is from RNAcentral. Lineage: Bacteria; Bacillati; Actinomycetota; Actinomycetes; Kitasatosporales; Streptomycetaceae.
ACACAUGCAGUCGACGAUGAACCACUUCGGUGGGGAUUAGUGGCGAACGGGUGAGUAACACGUGGGCAAUCUGCCCUGCACUCUGGGACAAGCCCUGGAAACGGGGUCUAAUACCGGAUACUGAUCAUCUUGGGCAUCUUGGAUGAUCGAAAGCUCCGGCGGUGCAGGAUGAGCCCGCGGCCUAUCAGCUUGUUGGUGAGGUAAUGGCUCACCAAGGCGACGACGGGUAGCCGGCCUGAGAGGGCGACCGGCCACACUGGGACUGAGACACGGCCCAGACUCCUACGGGAGGCAGCAGUGGGGAAUAUUGGCAUCAAUCGGGCGAAAUGCCUGAAUGCAAGCGAACGCCGCGUGGAGGGAUGACCGACGUACGGGUAGUAAACCUCUUCCAGCAGGGAAGAAGCGAAAAGUGACGGUACCUGCAGAAAGAAGCGCCGGGCUAAACUACGUGCCAGCAGCCGCGGUAAUACGUAGGGCGCGAGCGUUGUCCGGAAUUAUUGGGCGUAAAGAGCUCGUAGGCGGCUUGUCACGUCGGUUGUGAAAGCCCGGGGCUUAACCCCGGGUCUGCAGUCGAUACGGGCAGGCUAGAGUUCGGUAGGGGAGAUCGGAAUUCCUGGUGUAGCGGUGAAAUGCGCAGAUAUCAGGAGGAACACCGGUGGCGAAGGCGGAUCUCUGGGCCGAUACUGACGCUGAGGAGCGAAAGCGUGGGGAGCGAACAGGAUUAGAUACCCUGGUAGUCCACGCCGUAAACGGUGGGCACUAGGUGUGGGCGACAUUCCACGUCGUCCGUGCCGCAGCUAACGCAUUAAGUGCCCCCGCCUGGGGAGUACGGCCGCAAGGCUAAAACUCAAAGGGAAUUGACGGGGGCCCGCACAAGCGGCGGAGCAUGUGGGCUUAAUUCGACGCAACGCGAAGAACCUUACCAAGGCUUGACAUACACCGGAAAGCAUCAGAGAUGGUGCCCCCCUUUGUGGUCGGUGUACAGGGUGGGUGCAUGGGCUGUCGUCAGCUCGUGUCGUGAGAUGUUGGGGUUAAGUUCCCGCAACGAGCGCAACCCUUGUUCCCGUGUUGCCAGCAGGCCCUUGUGGUGCUGGGGACUUCACGGGGAGACCGACCUGGGGUCAACUCGGAGGAAGGUGGGGACGACGUCAAGUCAUCAUGCCCCUUAUGUCUUGGGCUGCACACGUGCUACAAUGGCCGGUACAAUGAGCUGCGAUACCGCGAGGUGGAGCGAAUCUCAAAAAGCCGGUCUCAGUUCGGAUUGGGGUCUGCAACUCGACCCCAUGAAGUCGGAGUCGCUAGUAAUCGCAGAUCAGCAUUGCUGCGGUGAAUACGUUCCCGGGCCUUGUACACACCGCCCGUCACGUCACGAAAGUCGGUAACACCCGAAGCCGGUGGCCCAACCCCUUGUGGGAGGGAGCUUCGAA